This 332-nucleotide long non-coding RNA is filed under the name Brassica napus (rape). RNAcentral's name for it is "long non-coding RNA (BNAP_LNC022946)". The record is from RNAcentral. Lineage: Eukaryota; Viridiplantae; Streptophyta; Magnoliopsida; Brassicales; Brassicaceae.
AGACAUCAUAACUCAAAACACCCAGUCUACAAACCCGAAACACCCAACAUACAAACCCCACGCCAAAUAACACUUCUAAAAGUUAGUAGACAUCUUCGAAAAAGACACACGACAUCUAAAGCUUAGUUCUAAUUUGCUCAAUCACUUCAACGAUCUCACCCAUAUCAUUUUUCAGCUCAACAUUGUCCUUCUUUAUCUGUGCCAGAUCGUUGAUAAUCGUGGUUUGUUUGCUUGCCAACACAUCAAAUUCUUCAAGAUGUGCUUCGUCGAGCCACUUAAAGACGUGAUUUGGACCCGAAAUUGCUCCAUAUUGAUAAAAUUUUCUCCCCGGA